This 326-nucleotide ribosomal RNA is filed under the name Maccullochella ikei (eastern freshwater cod). Its description in RNAcentral is "partial 12S ribosomal RNA". The record is from RNAcentral. Lineage: Eukaryota; Metazoa; Chordata; Actinopteri; Centrarchiformes; Percichthyidae.
GAGGACAAGGAGCUGGUAUCAGGCACACAACAUCAAGCCCACGACACCUUGCUUAGCCACACCCCUAAGGGUAUACAGCAGUGAUAAAUAUUAAGCCAUAAGUGAAAACUUGACCUAGUCAAAGCUAAAAGGGCCGGUAAAACUCGUGCCAGCCACCGCGGUUAUACGAGAGGCCCAAGUUGAUAGACUCACCGGCGUAAAGGGUGGUUAAGAGUAAACUAAAACUAAAGCUGAACAUCUUCAAAGCAGUUAUACGCUCCCGAAGAUAAGAAACUCAACUACGAAAGUGGCUUUAUAACCCUGAACCCACGAAAGCUAUGGCACAA